This 301-nucleotide ribosomal RNA is filed under the name uncultured bacterium. RNAcentral's name for it is "partial 16S ribosomal RNA". It matches the Rfam family "Bacterial small subunit ribosomal RNA", at positions 509 to 807 of the family's 1533-position model. The record is from RNAcentral.
CAGUAGCCGCGGGAACACGGAGGGUGCAAGCGUUAAUCGGAAUUACUGGGCGUAAAGCGCGCGUAGGCGGUUACUCAAGUCAGAGGUGAAAGCCCGGGGCUCAACCCCGGAACUGCCUUUGAAACUAGGUAACUAGAAUCUUGGAGAGGUCAGUGGAAUUCCGAGUGUAGAGGUGAAAUUCGUAGAUAUUCGGAAGAACACCAGUGGCGAAGGCGACUGACUGGACAAGUAUUGACACUGAGGUGCGAAAGCGUGGGGAGCAAACAGGAUUAGAUACCCCUGUAGUCCCUGUCUCUUAUAC